Molecule: long non-coding RNA, 593 nt
Filed under: Sus scrofa (pig)
Lineage: Eukaryota; Metazoa; Chordata; Mammalia; Artiodactyla; Suidae
Description: lncRNA (ENSSSCG00030060003.1)
Source: RNAcentral
ACAGAGCCUGGAACAUAGUAAAUGUUCAAUAAAUGCGAUGUGUGAAAAUGAAACCAGUGCUGGAGCCAAACUGGGCCCACACAUGAGAUUCAAAAUGGUUCCUAUAAUCAAGAUGUGCUUGAACCUGGAGCAGGAGCAGGUCUCAGCAAAUGCCACAUCUCAGAGGAGAUGUCUAGUCUGCCUGAUUCAGGUUGCUGCGUAAGAAAUGACUAAUUCACUAUGAUCUUGAGGCCGUGCAGACUGACCUAUAAUCUUAGAAUUACUAAGCCAUUAUGAAAGGUUUUUCUAUUAGGUAAGUUUCCAUCCCUUUACCAUUCAACAUUUUGCUAACUCAAAGCAUUUUUACAAAUAUUUAAUUGAUUGGAAUCUGGAAAAGUAAUAAGCUUUUUUUCUGUUCUUAUAUGGCAUCCCCAAUAUCACAGUCUAUAACUGAUUUGAAAGAUUACCUAUAGCCCCUGGAUAUUCUUCUCCCCAUGUUAAAAGAAAGCAGGAAAAAUGAGAUUUGUGGAUGCAUCAUUACAAAUCGAGAUCAGUGGCGGGUGAAAAUUCUGGGAUUCAAUAAAGGAAGUUGCACCCAAGAGUAAGCUUGUUAA